UGUGCAUCCCUCCUGAAGAUCCACGCUCAGUAGAAGAGGACAAGGAUCUCGGAUAGAAGAAGUUCAUCGAUCUUUGGUCAAGGGUAUACGAUAGCUCUUUUCCCCCUGCUAUGACUUCCAAGCAUAGCAUUGCUAAGGCAUCGCUGUAACUG
Molecule: small RNA, 152 nt
Filed under: Notechis scutatus (mainland tiger snake)
Lineage: Eukaryota; Metazoa; Chordata; Lepidosauria; Squamata; Elapidae
Description: 7SK RNA (ENSNSUG00000016087.1)
Rfam family: 7SK RNA
About the family: 7SK was discovered as an abundant small nuclear RNA in the mid-70s but a possible function has only recently been suggested. Two independent studies have found that 7SK RNA binds the CDK9/cyclin T complex (known as elongation factor P-TEFb).
Source: RNAcentral